GGUUAAGCGACUAAGCGUACACGGUGGAUGCCCUGGCAGUCAGAGGCGAUGAAGGACGUGCUAAUCUGCGAAAAGCGUCGGUAAGGUGAUAUGAACCGUUACAGCCGGCGAUGUCCGAAUGGGGAAACCCAGUGUGAUUCGUCACACUAUCGUUAACUGAAUACAUAGGUUAACGAGGCGAACCGGGGGAACUGAAACAUCUAAGUACCCCGAGGAAAAGAAAUCAACCGAGAUUCCCCCAGUAGCGGCGAGCGAACGGGGAGCAGCCCAGAGUCUGAAUCAGCUUGUGUGUUAGUGGAACGGUCUGGAAAGUCCGACGGUACAGGGUGAUAGUCCCGUACACCAAAAUGCACAGGCUGUGAACUCGAAGAGUAGGGCGGGACACGUGGUAUCCUGUCUGAAUAUGGGGGGACCAUCCUCCAAGGCUAAAUACUCCUGACUGACCGAUAGUGAACCAGUACCGUGAGGGAAAGGCGAAAAGAACCCCGGCGAGGGGAGUGAAAAAGAACCUGAAACCGUGUACGUACAAGCAGUGGGAGCACCUUCGGGUGUGACUGCGUACCUUUUGUAUAAUGGGUCAGCGACUUAUAUUCUGUAGCAAGGUUAACCGUAUAGGGGAGCCGCAGGGAAACCGAGUCUUAACUGGGCGUUAAGUUGCAGGGUAUAGACCCGAAACCCGGUGAUCUAGCCAUGGGCAGGUUGAAGGUUGGGUAACACUAACUGGAGGACCGAACCGACUAAUGUUGAAAAAUUAGCGGAUGACUUGUGGCUGGGGGUGAAAGGCCAAUCAAACCGGGAGAUAGCUGGUUCUCCCCGAAAGCUAUUUAGGUAGCGCCUCGUGAAUUCAUCUUCGGGGGUAGAGCACUGUUUCGGCUAGGGGGUCAUCCCGACUUACCAACCCGAUGCAAACUACGAAUACCGAAGAAUGUUAUCACGGGAGACACACGGCGGGUGCUAACGUCCGUCGUGAAGAGGGAAACAACCCAGACCGCCAGCUAAGGUCCCAAAGUCAUGGUUAAGUGGGAAACGAUGUGGGAAGGCACAGACAGCCAGGAUGUUGGCUUAGAAGCAGCCAUCAUUUAAAGAAAGCGUAAUAGCUCACUGGUCGAGUCGGCCUGCGCGGAAGAUGUAACGGGGCUAAACCAUGCACCGAAGCUGCGGCAGCGACACUAUGUGUUGUUGGGUAGGGGAGCGUUCUGUAAGCCUGCGAAGGUGUGCUGUGAGGCAUGCUGGAGGUAUCAGAAGUGCGAAUGCUGACAUAAGUAACGAUAAAGCGGGUGAAAAGCCCGCUCGCCGGAAGACCAAGGGUUCCUGUCCAACGUUAAUCGGGGCAGGGUGAGUCGACCCCUAAGGCGAGGCCGAAAGGCGUAGUCGAUGGGAAACAGGUUAAUAUUCCUGUACUUGGUGUUACUGCGAAGGGGGGACGGAGAAGGCUAUGUUAGCCGGGCGACGGUUGUCCCGGUUUAAGCAUGUAGGCUGAUUAUCCAGGCAAAUCCGGAUAAUCAAGGCUGAGGUGUGAUGACGAGGCACUACGGUGCUGAAGUAACAAAUGCCCUGCUUCCAGGAAAAGCCUCUAAGCAUCAGGUAACAUCAAAUCGUACCCCAAACCGACACAGGUGGUCAGGUAGAGAAUACCAAGGCGCUUGAGAGAACUCGGGUGAAGGAACUAGGCAAAAUGGUGCCGUAACUUCGGGAGAAGGCACGCUGGUGUGUAGGUGAAGUCCCUGCGGAUGGAGCUGAGACCAGUCGAAGAUACCAGCUGGCUGCAACUGUUUAUUAAAAACACAGCACUGUGCAAACACGAAAGUGGACGUAUACGGUGUGACGCCUGCCCGGUGCCGGAAGGUUAAUUGAUGGGGUUAUCCGUAAGGAGAAGCUCUUGAUCGAAGCCCCGGUAAACGGCGGCCGUAACUAUAACGGUCCUAAGGUAGCGAAAUUCCUUGUCGGGUAAGUUCCGACCUGCACGAAUGGCGUAAUGAUGGCCAGGCUGUCUCCACCCGAGACUCAGUGAAAUUGAACUCGCUGUGAAGAUGCAGUGUACCCGCGGCAAGACGGAAAGACCCCGUGAACCUUUACUAUAGCUUGACACUGAACAUUGAGCCUUGAUGUGUAGGAUAGGUGGGAGGCUUUGAAGCGUGGACGCCAGUCUGCGUGGAGCCAACCUUGAAAUACCACCCUUUAAUGUUUGAUGUUCUAACGUUGGCCCCUUACCGGGGUUGCGGACAGUGUCUGGUGGGUAGUUUGACUGGGGCGGUCUCCUCCCAAAGCGUAACGGAGGAGCACGAAGGUUAGCUAAUCCUGGUCGGACAUCAGGAGGUUAGUGCAAUGGCAUAAGCUAGCUUGACUGCGAGCGUGACGGCGCGAGCAGGUGCGAAAGCAGGUCAUAGUGAUCCGGUGGUUCUGAAUGGAAGGGCCAUCGCUCAACGGAUAAAAGGUACUCCGGGGAUAACAGGCUGAUACCGCCCAAGAGUUCAUAUCGACGGCGGUGUUUGGCACCUCGAUGUCGGCUCAUCACAUCCUGGGGCUGAAGUAGGUCCCAAGGGUAUGGCUGUUCGCCAUUUAAAGUGGUACGCGAGCUGGGUUUAGAACGUCGUGAGACAGUUCGGUCCCUAUCUGCCGUGGGCGCUGGAGAAUUGAGGGGGGCUGCUCCUAGUACGAGAGGACCGGAGUGGACGCAUCACUGGUGUUCGGGUUGUCAUGCCAAUGGCACUGCCCGGUAGCUAAAUGCGGAAGAGAUAAGUGCUGAAAGCAUCUAAGCACGAAACUUGCCCCGAGAUGAGUUCUCCCUGAGACUUUAAGUCUCCUGAAGGAACGUUAAAGACGAUGACGUUGAUAGGCCGGGUGUGUAAGCGCAGCGAUGCGUUGAGCUAACCGGUACUAAUGAACCGUGAGGCUUAACCUU
Molecule: ribosomal RNA, 2902 nt
Filed under: Klebsiella pneumoniae
Lineage: Bacteria; Pseudomonadati; Pseudomonadota; Gammaproteobacteria; Enterobacterales; Enterobacteriaceae
Description: 23S ribosomal RNA
Rfam family: Bacterial large subunit ribosomal RNA
Source: RNAcentral